This 295-nucleotide ribosomal RNA is filed under the name Bacillus velezensis. RNAcentral's name for it is "partial 16S ribosomal RNA". It matches the Rfam family "Bacterial small subunit ribosomal RNA", at positions 1 to 286 of the family's 1533-position model. Lineage: Bacteria; Bacillati; Bacillota; Bacilli; Caryophanales; Bacillaceae. The record is from RNAcentral.
UUAUCGGAGAGUUUGAUCCUGGCUCAGGACGAACGCUGGCGGCGUGCCUAAUACAUGCAAGUCGAGCGGACAGAUGGGAGCUUGCUCCCUGAUGUUAGCGGCGGACGGGUGAGUAACACGUGGGUAACCUGCCUGUAAGACUGGGAUAACUCCGGGAAACCGGGGCUAAUACCGGAUGGUUGUUUGAACCGCAUGGUUCAGACAUAAAAGGUGGCUUCGGCUACCACUUACAGAUGGACCCGCGGCGCAUUAGCUAGUUGGUGAGGUAACGGCUCACCAAGGCGACGAUGCGUAG